Molecule: long non-coding RNA, 1167 nt
Filed under: Canis lupus familiaris (dog)
Lineage: Eukaryota; Metazoa; Chordata; Mammalia; Carnivora; Canidae
Description: lncRNA (ENSCAFG00845007539.1)
Source: RNAcentral
GGAGGGGCUGGGCCUGAGCCUGGAGGGAAGGUCUGAUUUUCAACGCUUAGGCAUGCCAAACGGUUUACUUUCAGAUGUUUUCUUCUUCCCUCUUACUGGCUGGUCCCUCCCUCCCUUCCCAGGUCACUUAAAAGACAUUCCCUCAAGAGCAAAGAGAAAAGACAUCCCAUCAAGGACGCAGAGCGGAGACAUCCCAUCAAGAGCAAAGGAGAAGUGAUGGAAGAGUUGAGUGUCAAACCCCAGCAACGUCAUCACAUUUAAUCCUUCUGAGGCCUGUGAGUGCGGGUCAUUGUUCCCAUUUACUGUCAAGAGGAUGGAGGCAAGGAGCAGAGGUGGCCUGUGAAUUGCUGGAGGGCAUGAGUGCUUUGCACCGGUGAGUGCCCACACUCGCCUGCUCCUCAGCCCCUCCUCUUUGCCCUCUAUCCCUUGACCCCUCAGAAAUCAACUCUGUGUUUUUUUAUUUUUUUAGGACAGCAAUGAUUUGUGCAGCAAGUUGGGAAGGUCCCCAGGGGACUGGCCAGGCACAGGGAAGGAAGCCAGUCCCUGCCCUUGUGGCUUCCUGAAGGUGGUUGUGACUGUGCUGGGGUCACGACCCCCCUAAGGAUGACAGGCAAGAUGAAGAGCUGACCCCUGACUUCCCUGAGCUCAGCCAGGGCCUCAAGACUCCUCCAGACUCGUACAGCCUCUCCUCCCACUGCCAGGCUCCCCGUGUUGGCCGCAGUGUGGCACGGAGUGCCUGCGCUAUUUAUUUCCUAAUAAAAAGACAGCCUGGGUGGCCCAUGGAGAUUAAGACAGAGAUUUACUAUGAGAUGAUUAACCAUAAAAUCACAGACUGUUUCUCCAUAUAUCCAAUGCAGAGCCCCGACGGGGAGCUUCUUGCUUGGCACAGGUGAAGGAGCGUGGCCUGUGGCACCGGAUGGGCUGGGGCUUGGAGUCCGGUGUGGCUGUGUCCUGGGGUGGCCUCGGGCAGGUCACUUCUCCAAGGUCAGUUUUCUCCCUACCGGGAUAAUGGUAACAAAGGUGAUGACUGCAAUGAUGAUGAUGAUGGUGAUGGUGGACGACGGUGCUGGUGUGAGGGCUGGCAUUUCCUGGGGGCUUCCCUACACUUCAAUACAUGUUGAAAAACACCACUUGAUUCUAUGUUGAAAAACACCACUUGCUUCAGGG